This is a long non-coding RNA of Vicia villosa (hairy vetch), 2081 nucleotides long. RefSeq lists it as uncharacterized. The record is from RefSeq and is a predicted model, not a curated record. The transcript has 10 exons. NCBI's taxonomy places the organism in Eukaryota, Viridiplantae, Streptophyta, Magnoliopsida, Fabales, Fabaceae.
UCUUUCAUUGCAUGUCUCAUAUCCCAACUCCUUAUGUUCUUUCAUUCCACAACCUUUCCACGGUUUCUCAAAAACUGUUUCUCUUCCAUCCCAAAAAUCUUCCCUCUCACGAUCGUAUCUCUUUUUCUCUCUUACGUCUUUCUAUGCAACUGAUUCCUUCUCCCUUUCUUCUCUUCUGCCUUCUAACUCUUCUUCAAAAACCUGACACCAAAAUAUGUCGUGAGAGAACAAUGAUGAACAAAUUUGAGUAUUCAAGCGAUUUCAACGAUUUCGGUGGAAACGAGUUUGAGUAUUCAAGAGAUUUCAAUGCUUUGAAUAAUAAACUGAUGAUGACACUGACGAUAGCUAUGUUUGGUUUGGCGGCGAGUUUCAUAAAAUCACGGUAAAAACUUCUUCAAAAUCGCGUCUGGAAGGACUUUGCACGUGCGUUUGGUCGCGGAAAAGCCAAACCAAACAGGCACGAUGACGAUGAUGAGUACGAUAUGGAUGAAGAUGACGACGAUGAGGACGAAUAUAAUGAUGAAGAAUCUGAGGAGGAUGGGACUGAGACCGAAAAAGAAGUCCAUCCUUUAUAAAUUAGCACGACUUCAAUCAGCGGGGAGUAACAAACGGAAUCUCGUCGGAAAAAUGGUUAACGCAAAGUUUCACCAAUACUAGGUCGUCGGAAGGGUUCUUCUCACCGAAACCGAUGAGCACCCGAAAAUUUACUGCAUGAAGCUUUGGGCUACCAAUGAGGUAAAGUGGUCUGGAGUUAGAACACAACAUUCUACUAAUCCCUUUGUUGAUGAUAUGUAUGAGCGGUUGAAAGAGAGCUUGACAGAUUAAGAGAGCUUGACAAAUUACGAGGUUGUCAUUUACCGUUGGCCCGUAAUAUAUAAUGGUUUUAGAAAAUGAAAAGACAAUUGGUUGUGUGGUACCUUUUAAUGUGCAAAAGAGAGUUAAAAUAAGUGCACAAAAAGAGUCAAAGGGUAAGAAACUUUGGUUGAGGAAGAGCCUCACAGGGUUUGUACUUAUUUAUCUCAUUAAUUUUCAAGAAUUUUGUUAGUUGUCAUGCUAUAUUCUUAUUCUAUCUUCCCAAAUAUUGGUACAUCAUGGGAAUCUGGAGUAAGAAGAAGCAGCAGGUUCAAGACAAGGCCUUUGGAAUAUUGGAAAGAGGAAAUAAUGGUGUAUGGUCGUGUACAUGAGAGUUUAAGUACUGUCAUUGCGGUGAAGUGUUUGGUUCUUGGAAGUGAUGGGAAUCAGACUAUGGUGGUGAAAUCAUUUAUGUCAGAUAAAUACAAGAAGCUUUUUGAGAUUUCUUCUAGAUAUUGAGAGUGAGAGAAGAGCUUUAGGUUUAUUGUUUUUUUAGGUGUGUCGUCUUUAGUGUAUAUAUAUCUACAGAAAAUCGCGCGAUUCAUAAUUAGCAUGAUUCAUUGCCACUAUUUGAUGGUUCUACCAAACAAAGGAUGAGCAUCGACGUAUUGAGGACAAAAAGAAACACACAUAGUGAAACAGGAAGAGCAUCCCUAAAUUUAAUCGGACAUGCAUUUGUAGGUGUGGACACUAUGGACAGAAAGAAAGGUCUUGGAUACAGUUGAUCCAACACUGAACCACUCUUAUCCUCCUGCUAUAGUUCUGAGAUGCAUUCAAAUUGGAUUCUUCUUGAUGGAAAUUGGUUAGAGCUUGAGCCGAUUUAGAGAUUGAUGUCAGCAUGGAUCAAGGUGGGAUGUCUUGGAUUCCACACUAUCUUCAUCUUUUGAUGUUUGAGUUACAAAAUCUGCAUUUGGUAUUGAUAAAUUAAGCCAUGGUAAUCAUGGAAUCAACAUAACUUCUACGUCUUUUAAAAAUGGGAUGAGAAAGGGAUCUGAAGGAUUGAAGUCAAUUGGUCGAUCGCUUCAAUUGGUGCUAUCUGGGGCGCGUUUCCAGAAGAUCCCCAAGAAAAAAUGAUACUCUCUUGGAAUUAAUUAUUUGUUAUCUCAUGCAUUUUGUCUGUGUAUGUGGAUCCACUGUUUUUUAUCUCUGUCAUCAAUGAUCAAAUACAAUCAUUGAUGCUUACUAUCUUAUACACAUGCCUCUCCAAUUUCUUACCGCUUAAAUUGUUU